Coturnix japonica (Japanese quail) is the source of this 3524-nucleotide non-coding RNA. NCBI's taxonomy places the organism in Eukaryota, Metazoa, Chordata, Aves, Galliformes, Phasianidae. The record is from RefSeq and is a predicted model, not a curated record.
AUAGCAUUAUCUUUAACAUUUACUACCAGAUUUGAGCUCUUUCACAUGGAAACCAUCUAUAUUGGAAACACUUAGUCAUGGUCUGUAAGCAGUGAUGGAGCACCUGGUAGGAAGGCAGGGCCAACCCAAGGGAGCUCAGCUGCAUGCAAUGUACCUGAGUGACCAGAAGGUGUGGAGCCAGGAUCCACCCCUCCCCAGCUCUCAUUUAAGAGUUGUUGGUGGUAGUAAGAGUAAUUUGUUGGAGAUCAUUGCAUUCCAGAGGUCUUCUGAAGGUGUCUCUAAGGUCUGUAGAGAUUUGGCAAAAUUCCCAUGAAUGAGAACUUUUGCCCACAACUCUGUCCCAGAAUCUCUGCCUUGCAAAUAAUAGAGCUGGAGGCUUGUGGUCAAAUGACCUCAGCAUCAUUGCGAAAGCUGUUCACUUGCAUUAUUCUCACAACACGUGGUUCCAUAAGAAACACCACGCUAUGUCUAGCUACUUUUCAUUAACUCUUUCCUGAGAGGCAAAACACUGAAAGAAAUGCUGCUAUUUCAUCCUCUGUCUGUGGGUUACUCCAGGCUUUUGCCCAUGUCUCACACCCUCCAGAGAGGGGUUUCUCUGCCCCAGUUGAGCUACAGGUUCAGAAAGCAGAGCACAGCUGUGUCUUUGGUCAGAGUUGUGCAAGGAAACUAUGCUGCUUUUUCAGUUGCAUUAAAGUAAUUAUUCCUCCAGUAUGGUGCUGUGCACAAGUAGAACCCAGCACCAACUUCAUGUCACGCUUUAGCUACUUUGCCUUCCCUAAAUGUAUAUGUAUGUGUUACAGCUGUGCAAAGGGAGUGACGAUGCUUAAGAUGCAACAAGUUUUUCUAAAACAAAUGCAUAGAAAAGAAAGAAAGAUCUCUUAAGUUUCUCCAUUGAGCUCACGUGUGCUUCCAUUGAAGAGGCUGAGACAGAGGAGAAGUGGUCCUCUCUUCCCUGAGCUGCUGGGAGGAAGCUGCCCGGCUCAAGUUUGUCACCACUGCAGCUCUGGACACUGGAGCGAGUAGCUUGUAAAAUUGCAUUCCUGCAUGUUUGUGAAGCACUUAGCACAGUGAAGGUCUGACUGAAUUUCUAGAGAACUGAUAUAAGUAUUGCUAGUAACGAGAGCAAGACAUUUCUACUGACCAUUGCCAUUUCAAAGCAUGUGGGAAAUAAGCAUGAAAUUCUUUAUGAGCUCUGUGCUGCAUUGGAAAAAGGACAAGGGCCACAGGACAAGGCAGGCACCCCCCUGGCAUCUGCCUGGGGAAUGGCACAAUGAAGCUCCCUGCUGCCAUGCAGGGGGUUCUGAAUUGCAAUAUAGGUGUAUCCCAAGGGAUGACAGCAGCUCCUGACUGGGGACUCUCAGCAGCAAGAAAGUAGAGCCAUUAAAGAAUGGAGAUACACAGCAACCAACAUCCAUUUGUUGCUCUGAGCAUCCAUCCCAAAUUGGAGGUAGUUGUAUUUCACAGAGUCCUCAUCUGUACAUAGUACAGCUCAUUGCUCACCUUCUGGAUAAGGUCCAGGUGUUGCAGAGGAUCUGGCUGUGCCCUUUGGGGAGUUGGGUGCUGAGCAGAAGGGGCCCUGGGGAGCACUGUGAGCUCUGUGAGCUGCAGGUGCAGCUGUGCUCUGCUCCCAGGCUGGGUGCUUGCUGGCUGCCAAACUGCGUGCAGUGAUUAUGCAGUGUGGACAUCUCGUCAGCUGCUGAGAUGGGGCUGUCUGACUCAUUUCCACUUGGAAUCUUGAUGACAAUUUGGUUUGAAUUAGUUGUGGGCUAAAGCCAAAACCCUGGAUCUGAACUUCCUCAGAUUUUGGGAAGACUCCAUUCUGGAUCUGAGCUUAACACAUGGCUCUUGCUUAUACAAUGAUCAGAGCCAAACUCUGGAUUAGGGCAUUCCCAGAAUAUGGGGAAGUUCAGAGCUCAUCUUUGAUGCUGAGGUCAUCUCAAGCACAGGUUUCUGGAGAUGAAAUACUACCCAUAUGCUAGCUUGCUCUUUCUUUUCUUGUAAAACUGACAUUUAACAAGUGCAUUCUUAGAUCUGCAACUGCAUCUUCUCAGUACUGGCAAGUAAAAAAGGUGUGUGUGAGUCUGUCUACGUUUCAGUUGGAAAAGCAGACUCUUAGGAACUUCCAUAUUGUAUGCACAAGAAGCUUUUUGGCUUUUGUGCACAAUUGUAUUAUUCCGGAAGCUCUGGACACACAGCUCUUGCUGAAGACACCGGGCUACCCCUGCAUGGCUCUUUCUUGAAACAGAAGGACUGAAGAGUAAAUAAAUUCCAUUUGCAAGCUGCUCCAGUGACACAGUGCUAACAAACCAUCCCCAAAAGAUGAGAUCUUGCGAUGUGCUACUGCAGUGUGCCCACAGGGACCUACUUCUGAGGCCCUCUGCUUCUCAAGCAUGGGCAGUCAAGCUGGAGAAAUCCCUGAGAAAUCCCUGUCUGGGAAAAGCUGAGCUGCCUGCUACUGUGCUGAGAAAACCCAGCUCCAACAGAAGGCUCUGUCAACACAGCACCGUAUCGUUCGCUCGAGGUGUACACACUUCACUUGACACCUCUGCCUUGUCCUACAGAUGUUCCACUGUGUUUCGGAUGGAGCCUCUAACAGUACAGCUGUUUGAACACAUGUGCAUUUUCCACUCAACAAACCGCAAGAAUAUGGCAGCAGGGUUACAACGUCUGAUUCCUAGGGCGAGAAUGAGAGAAGCUGAAGAGGUGUUUCUUUGGGAAAUCUCCGUAUUUUCUUCUGUAGUUUCUCUCUUUCCUGUUUUGUUCACCGACUGUGCUACACUCAGACCAUGGGGAAGGUAAAGCCUGAUUGAUAUUGCAAGUGACAACUGUGGCCUCGAAACCAUUUCCUCAGUUCAUCUUCAGGAGGCGUUAAGCCCACAGCGUUUUGCCUGUUCCACAGGAGUAGAGUCCUUCUGACUUUUAUUCACAAAAAUCCACUUUAUUCCAGUUCCUGCUAAUCUGCUGUUACUUGUGAAUAAAUUAGAGCCUGCCCCAACAAAGAGCUUUAAAGAGGAAUUAUCUGAUAUGCUCAGAAGGAGUUUACAACAGACUUUCUGAUUUUGCCGCUGUAGGAUAUGAGAAGAGGUGGUGAGCUCUUGCCAAGAAUUUCACAAACCUGAAUUCCCUUUCUGCUCCCAAUAAGGUACAGAGGCUGGGGAGAUUGGGAAGAAUGCAUUAAUAAAAUAGUGAGCCCAACAAUGAAUAUCUUGUGAAAUACACAGCCACUUCUACCGUUCUUCUCUCAUGGCCAUGGACAUCUAAUCCAGAUACCUUGCCUCCCAGUUAACACCAGCUGGGGUAAGAUACGUUGCCUAUCCUUUCCAUCCUGUCAACAUCUGGUUUUUGAAAAGCAGAUGUGCGCAAAUUGAUCUGACUAAUGUGUUUGAUUCUGUCACUGACUGCAGGAGAAAACAGCAAAACACUGCCAUCAAAUCAGUGUCAAAUUUGGACUUGGUGACCUUAGUGUUGAUCUUUUUAUAAGAAGGAAUUAUUAAGGUGAGAAGGACUUUUUCAUGUUCCUUAAU